This 4223-nucleotide long non-coding RNA is filed under the name Sus scrofa (pig). Its description in RNAcentral is "lncRNA (ENSSSCG00000057098.1)". Lineage: Eukaryota; Metazoa; Chordata; Mammalia; Artiodactyla; Suidae. The record is from RNAcentral.
CUUUUGUCUUCUGAUGCAUGCUGAGAACUCCAGGUUGUGCUACCUCUAGCUGUAGGAAGUAGAUAUGCAGGUGGGAUGUAGAGCGGGUUGACCAGAGUCAAUGACAGAAACAAACACUUAGGGUGUUGGUUUCCUCUCACCUAACAAAAUUACUGAUAUGCAAAUAACUGCUAAAAUAAAAAGAAAGAGUUAAAAAUAGGAAAAUUACUUGUUAUCCAUGAAAAAGGAGAAUUGGAAUAUAAAGAAGAGGAAACUGCAUGGAGACCUACAAAAUUUUUAAAAAUGAGGAUCGAAGUUUGUGAUGUUUAAGGCAAAGACUGGUUCUUCAUUUCCCCUGGAGACUAUACAAAGGGAAGUUGCAUUGCAUCUCACUUGCAUUUGAGUGAACAUCUCAUGUUCUCCCCCCUCCAUAAUCACGUCAUCCCGCAGGGCACCCUUCCUAGGCGAAAAGUAUUCAUGUGCAUGCAAAUCCUCUGGGGAUCUUGAAAGUAAUCUAGAUCUGAUUUGGCCAGUCUGGCAUAGGGCUCGAGAUUCUGAAUUUCUAACCAGCUGCCAAUGUUGAAGGUCUGUGUGGAGCUGAGUGGCAAGAAUCCUCCCUUUCCCAUGUGGUUUGGGUGGGGGACUGCUGAGCAGAGCAGCUGGCAUAUUGCACACCCUCCACUCUGCCCUGGAGUGGUUGUGAGGUCCAGACUUGGCCAAAGAACGUUCUUAACAGGAAUUUUGUUCUUCUGUCCCCAGCUCACGUGCCUCAGGGAAGCUUCAGGUUGAGGUGAUGAGGCCAAUUCAUUAGGAGAUGCUGAGGGGAAGAGAAAAGAAGAGAGGAGAUAUCAGGAAAGAGACCAGAUAAAGUACCUUGAGUCCUGGAUUCCCCAUCCUGGAACAUCUCAGUCAGACCGACAGUGAAUUCCCUUUUUGCUUAAACUAAUUUGAGUUGUUUCUGUUAUUUGCAAUUAAAAGUGUUCUGUGUAAUACAGGAGUGAUUUAGACUUGAUAUAAAGAAUUCUUUAUUAUGGCAGGAGGGUGGUUGUUACUCUUACUGAAGAUCUUUAGGAAGGACUGGCCCCAUCAGAGGCUGCUGCUAGUUCAUGGGACAAUGAUCCAGAGCUCCAUGCUGAGAAAAGAUUUGUUGCAGAAAGAUGACCCAACAGCUGGCCUGAUCGUGAAGUCACCUUGCUGAGGUACUGAAGGCGCAGAAGGUGUGGGUCCUGAUCUGCAGGCUGGGUCCCUGUAUGAAGUGUCUCUAUGCAGACCUGUGACAGUGACCCAAAUCUACCUGUGAUUGCAUCCUUCCUUUGGAUGGCUAAGGCUUUUAUGAUGGUGCUGAGUGUCGACUAGGAGGGUUAGGGAAUGGAGCCUGAGGCGGGGAACAGAAGUGAUUUCAGAGGGACUUGGAGGAGUAAUAUUAAAUUAUUUGUGUGGCAUCGACUCUACCAGUGAAAACACCUGCUAGCCACAGUGACAUUCUUGGGAGCACUAGUUGAACACCAGCCAUAGUCUCCUGGAUACCCUUUGAAGUAGGUACAGGAUCUGCACUAUUUUUAUAUAGGUACUGAAUUUCCUAGGCAUAGAGUUUUUCAAAAGAGAUUUUAAAUAAUAUUUAUAAAUAUGACAUUCUUAUACCGUUUGUACAUUAAAAACUUCUAUUUUCCCUCAGUAUUUUUACAAAGGGGUGCAUUCAUUGUCAUGUCUGGUGGUCAGCUUUAUGUUAUUUAGAAUAAGCUUCAGAACUUUCUCCUGUAAAACUAAUUUUAAUAUAUCUAGCCCUUGUUCAAAUGCAACUGUCUUAUUCUAAAUGUAUUACAUGGAUAAAUGAUUAAUAUUACAAAAAUGGAAGCCUUUAAUCUUUUGGAUUUUUAGAAUGUUAAAUGUAGACAGGCUUGAUAUUAGCACUUUGGUUAUAUUAAACAUAAUAGAAAUUUAUCAAAAGAAGCCCAAGAAGGGUCCAUUUUCGGGAGUUACAACCAUGAUGGACUCUAUCUUUCCGUGUGCUGUUAAUGUUACUAGGACUAGAAGAACUUCUCUUGUCCAUUGGUGAACCAAAAACCAACCAAACAACAAAACCAAAAACCAACCAAAUAACAAAACAAAAAACAAUGGUGGUGGGAAGAUUGUGAGACUAUUUAGGCCUAGUCACUUUUGUAAUGUUUGCUUACUUAGUUGAAAGGCAAGAACAUUGCAUUUCAAGUCCAGAGUGCUGGGUGUGAGUCUAAUGCCUUUUUGGCAUUUUCAUCCACUCUGUACCUCUCCCUCACCCUUCUCAGUCCCCACCCCCUGAACCCCCAGUUUUUUUGGUAGACAGGGUUUUGUAGAAUAUAGCAGAGGGAAGAAGCCCUUCUUAGGAAUGAGGUGCUAUACCACGUUCUUAAAGUGAUCAUUAAGCAACCUCAAGAGCAGAAGCUAAGAGUCUCCGAGAAAGUAAAAAAGCCUCCAUUUAAGACUGCAGCAUUCCUGAGCAGCCUGACAUUUUUCUCGUCCAGAGUAUGGGUAGUUCCCAUGUUGCGGACCAUGGAGGUAUUAUCGGGGGUCUGUGAAUCCCAAGCAUACAUUCGACCUUGUGAAUAUAGUAAAUAAAUACCUCACACAUAAUGCACUACUGUUUUCCAAGGUAGGUAAGUGAUAUUUUAAUUAUCAAGUUCCACAAAGUUAUGUGGAAAUGAAUUCACCAUUGCUUUCUGUUGUAUUUUUCUUAUUAUAAAUAUGAGAUCUAAAAUACAAGAUACUAAGUCUAGAUCCUGUGGAAUUUGAUUCCUUUAAAGCCUUCAGUGUGUUAUACUAAGUGAAGUAAGACAGAUGGAGGAAGACAAGUAUCAUAGGAGGUUACUCAUAUGUGGAAUCUACAAAAAUGAUACAAAUGAAGUUAUUUACAAAACAGAAACAGACUCACAGACAGAGAGAAAAAACUUACCUACCAAAGAAGCUAAUACAACAUUGUAACUAAACUAUACUUCAAUUGAAAAAAAAGGAAUGGAGAUUUGAUACAUGCUACAACAUGGAUGAAACUGGAAAAUAUCAUGCCAGGUGAAAUUAAGCCAGACAGAAAAGGAUAACUGUAUGCUUCCACUUGAAUGAGAGACCUGGAAUAGGCAAAUUCACAGAGGUAGAGAGUAGAAUAGAGGCUGAGGGGAGAGAAGACUGUGUGUUGUUGUUUAAGGGAAGCAGAGUUUCUGUUUGGGAUGAUAAAAACUUGUGGAAAUAGGUAGUGGUGAUGGUUGCACAAUACUAUAAAUGUAGUGUCACUGAACGGUACACUUAAAAGUGAUGAAUGUUAGGUUGUGUAUAUUUUACCACAAUAAAACUUACAUACUGUCUCUGACUUACCAAAACAAUUUAAGCAUGUUAAAAAAUAGGUCCAUAGAAUUUUAUAGGCCACUCAGAUUUUUUUUUUUAAUACUGAAAUUCUCUCAGCAGUAACUUUUUUUCUAAAAAUUCUCUGGACUGAUCAGGGGGUGUUCUCUAUGUCCUUAGUUCUGUGAAGAAUUACCUAGAGGCAUGACAAGAGCUCAUUAAUUAAAUAUUGCGGUACCGGACCCUCGUCAUGCCCGACAGUUCUCUCAUUAUGUGCCUCUGAGAGGGAUACUAGUUGUCAGCAGCUGAUGUAAAAUAAUUUCCUCCUGUCAAGGAGAAAAGCCUUGAUAGCAGUUCUUCAUGUCUAUUAGGUAAAUUAUUUGAGCAAAAAUGGUUUUGCACUGAAGGGAAAGUCAAAACAUCUCAUGCAAAAUCUUAAAGUGAUUUGUUUCCUAUGGCAAGAAAAAAAUUAGCUUUCUCCAAAGGUAAACAUCUUUCGCUAGUGCCGUUGGCAUCCCUCCACCUUUGCACAGCUGCCUCUUUUUGCAGGUAUAUUUCUUCUAUUAUUGUAUAAGGAAUAUGCUAUAUUCCUGGAUGCACUGUAACAGAAGCACUGAGUGUGAAAAAUUCCAUUGUUUUUAGUGAUAUUAUCAACUGAGAACUUCAGCAACAUUGUGAUCUUUUUGGUGGGCGAGAUCUCUGGGUAGUCUUUAAAUAUUAUUUUUCUUGACAGACGGGAACACAUUUAAAAAUCUUUAUCUAUGUCAGUGAUCUACAUCUUUAUCUCUCUAUAUCUAAACUGAAUGGAAAAUUUUGCUUUGUGAUUUCUUUUUCCAUCCAGACAUUUGUCCGUUUAUGCUGGCUCCCAUAAAUAAAACUCAUCACUUCCUAUUUUCAUAGCUGAUUUAAACGAAGCAAAGAAAGGCACAUCUUAAAAU